Molecule: long non-coding RNA, 630 nt
Organism: Oncorhynchus keta (chum salmon)
Lineage: Eukaryota; Metazoa; Chordata; Actinopteri; Salmoniformes; Salmonidae
Exons: 2
Source: RefSeq, a predicted model, not a curated record
CUUCAGCAAAGAUGGCUGACAAAAAUACCAGGACAGAAGCAAAUGUUAGUGACUCCUGAGAAAACCACCAAACCAGGCUGUCGUCUUGUGAAACAGUGGAUGUAAGGAAUAUAGCUAGCUAAAGUUUUACUGAAAAUGUCAUGUACAUUUUGUAUGCUUGCCUUGCUGGUAUUUGCCAUGAAAUGCAGCUGAAGUAAUGUAGCUAGCUAACCAUGGUCUUGCUUAUUGUGUAGUGGAGGAUAAAAAAUACCUGUAUGCCUAUGGAUGUGUAGCUAGCUAUAAAAAAAUAUAUAGCAAAGAAUAUAUCCACUGAUCAUGUGCUCUACCUUGGCAAAUAAAGGUGCGGUUCAGGUCUUUUUCAGUCAUAUCCAACACCAAGAAUAUCAAACUCCAGUCUUUGAACGAUGCUUUGUCUGCAUGUUUGUAUUACAAUUAUACACUUCAACCUUGUUUACCAAUCCUGGUCCAUCUAUGGUUACACAUUGUAACUAUGCAAUGAACUAGAAACAUGAUUUAACUCAUUAAAGACUAAUUUGUAAUUCACAUAUAUAUAGAAACAGAAUUUAAAAAGAAAGGUACCCUAUACUUUCUAUGUAUCAUGUAAAUACUUGAAUAAACAGUUCAUUUGAA